ACGAACGCUGGCGGCGUGCUUAACACAUGCAAGUCGGACGGAAAGGCCCUGCUUUUGUGGGGUGCUCGAGUGGCGAACGGGGGAGUAACACGUGAGUAACCUGCCCUUGACUUUGGGAUAACUUCAGGAAACUGGGGCUAAUACCGGAUAGGAGCUCCUGCUGCAUGGGGGGGGUUGGAAAGGUUCGGCGGUUGGGGAUGGACUCGCGGCUUAUCAGCUUGUUGGUGGGGUAGUGGCUUACCAAGGCUUUGACGGGUAGCCGGCCUGAGAGGGUGACCGGCCACAUUGGGACUGAGAUACGGCCCAGACUCCUACGGGAGGCAGCAGUGGGGAAUAUUGCACAAUGGGCGGAAGCCUGAUGCAGCAACGCCGCGUGCGGGAUGACGGCCUUCGGGUUGUAAACCGCUUUCGCCUGUGACGAAGCGUGAGUGACGGUAAUGGGUAAAGAAGCACCGGCUAACUACGUG
This 467-nucleotide ribosomal RNA is filed under the name uncultured bacterium. Its description in RNAcentral is "partial 16S ribosomal RNA". It matches the Rfam family "Bacterial small subunit ribosomal RNA", at positions 29 to 507 of the family's 1533-position model. The record is from RNAcentral.